This 460-nucleotide ribosomal RNA is filed under the name uncultured bacterium. RNAcentral's name for it is "partial 16S ribosomal RNA". It matches the Rfam family "Bacterial small subunit ribosomal RNA", at positions 338 to 795 of the family's 1533-position model. The record is from RNAcentral.
CCUACGGGAGGCAGCAGUGAGGAAUAUUGGUCAAUGGGCGGGAGCCUGAACCAGCCAAGUCGCGUGAGGGAAGACGGUCCUAUGGAUUGUAAACCUCUUUAGGCGGGGAGCAAUGCCGGGCACGUGUGCCCGGAGGGAGAGUACCCGCAGAAUAAGCAUCGGCUAACUCCGUGCCAGCAGACGCGGUACUACGGAGGAUGCGAGCGUUAUCCGGAUUUAGUGGGUUUAAAGGGUGCGUAGGCGGAUUUUUAAGUCAGCGGUAAAAUGUCCGGGCUCAACCCGGGCCGGCCGUUGAAACUGGGGAUCUUGAGUGGGCGAGAAGUAUGCGGAAUGCGUGGUGUAGCGGUGAAAUGCAUAGAUAUCACGCAGAACUCCGAUUGCGAAGGCAGCAUACCGGCGCCCGACUGACGCUGAGGCACGAAAGCGUGGGGAUCGAACAGGAUUAGAUACCCUUGUAGUC